RNAcentral lists this ribosomal RNA (537 nucleotides) under uncultured Bacillus sp. RNAcentral's name for it is "partial 16S ribosomal RNA". It matches the Rfam family "Bacterial small subunit ribosomal RNA", at positions 346 to 875 of the family's 1533-position model. The record is from RNAcentral. Lineage: Bacteria; Bacillati; Bacillota; Bacilli; Caryophanales; Bacillaceae.
GGGCACCAKURGGGAUUUUUCSCCAAUGGMGGCAAUYCUGAGGRAGCAACSCCSGUUGASUGAGAAAGGUUUUGGGUUGKUAAAAUUUGUUUUCGRGGGAAGAAAAGKUCCSGAGUAACUACCGGUACCUUGACGGUACCUGACCAGAAAGCCACGGCUAACUACGUGCCAGCAGCCGCGGUAAUACGUAGGUGGCAAGCGUUGUCCGGAAUUAUUGGGCGUAAAGCGCGCGCAGGCGGUUCCUUAAGUCUGAUGUGAAAGCCCCCGGCUCAACCGGGGAGGGUCAUUGGAAACUGGGGAACUUGAGUGCAGAAGAGGAGAGCGGAAUUCCACGUGUAGCGGUGAAAUGCGUAGAGAUGUGGAGGAACACCAGUGGCGAAGGCGGCUUUCUGGUCUGUAACUGACGCUGAGGCGCGAAAGCGUGGGGAGCRAACAGGAUUAGAUACCCUGGUAGUCCACGCCGUAAACGAUGAGUGCUAAGUGUUAGGGGGUUUCCGCCCUUUAGUGCUGCAGCAAACGCAUUAAGCACUCCGCCUG